AUGGCGGGGAGGCAGCCGGACCAUGAAGACCAACAGCGGUUGGCGGGCAACAAGCGGGGCGCCCUAAUAGUAGCGAUGAGGGAGACGGCAGCGAUGAGUCCCAUGGAUGGCCUAGCAUAUCUUGAUGGCCUACUCAACGCCUUGGCCACCGCCGACGAAGGCAAGGCCGAGGCCACUCUGGGCUACAAGGAGGCAUUUGAGGUGCAGAAGAGGCUACUGGAGUGUCAGGACGAGGCGAGGGCCCUGCAGGAGAAGGCGGAGGACUGCCUGGUUAGGAUGAAGCUCGCAGCCAAGACGGCGGAGGAGGCAUGGAACGAGGGGAAACAUCUGGAAGGCUUCGAGGCCGCCUACCUCGCCAUGAAGGUGGCACGGGAGAAGGAGGGGCUUCUGAAAGAGCGUGAGAUCCUCACCAAGAAGCUUGAGCUUGCCCGGUUGGACAGAGAGUUGGUUCUCGGCAUGAAUGUGCGGUAA
This 471-nucleotide ribosomal RNA is filed under the name Triticum aestivum (bread wheat). RNAcentral's name for it is "partial small subunit ribosomal RNA". The record is from RNAcentral. Lineage: Eukaryota; Viridiplantae; Streptophyta; Magnoliopsida; Poales; Poaceae.